UACGUAGGGUUCGAGCGUUAAUCGGAAUUACUGGGCGUAAAGGGCGCGUAGGCGGCCUGCUAAGUCGAACGUGAAAUCCCUGGGCUCGACCCAGGAACUGCGUCCGAUACUGGUUGGCUUGAAUCCGGGAGAGGGAUGUGGAAUUCCAGGUGUAGCGGUGAAAUGCGUAGAUAUCUGGAGGAACACCGGUGGCGAAGGCGACAUCCUGGACCGGUAUUGACGCUGAGGCGCGAAAGCCAGGGGAGCAAACGGG
RNAcentral lists this ribosomal RNA (253 nucleotides) under uncultured bacterium. RNAcentral's name for it is "partial 16S ribosomal RNA". It matches the Rfam family "Bacterial small subunit ribosomal RNA", at positions 524 to 776 of the family's 1533-position model. The record is from RNAcentral.